Molecule: non-coding RNA, 3488 nt
Organism: Heterocephalus glaber (naked mole-rat)
Lineage: Eukaryota; Metazoa; Chordata; Mammalia; Rodentia; Bathyergidae
Source: RefSeq, a predicted model, not a curated record
AUGGCAUUUAGGUUAGCCACUCCCUAAAGUUGUUGUAAAAGUGAGUGAUAAACUUAUAUGAAAGUGUUGGGUGAAUUUUUAAGAAAGAAAACAAAUCAUUCAUACCUUUUCAUAAUUAUUAAUCCUUGGAGGAUUAAUAACAACAUGGGUUAACGCUGCCUUCUGAUUUUAAAAGCUGGUGUGUAGGAAACAAGGUGGAGUGUAACACGCACCACCCUGCCAACUCUGGGUCCCGUGCCAGUUCAGCAGUGACAGGGUGGCAAAGAGGAGCUAUUAAACAGACUGCCCUUUUCUUCACUGAGGCGCUCAACUAAGGCACAGCUCUGGCACCAAGAGUUGUGCCAAGGAGGCCAAGUUUUCAUGGCAGCUCAGCUGUCUUCUAGCUUUGUGGGUAAAUCGGUUAUUUUCUCUGUCUCAUUGCUACUUUAAAAUAGAAACCAUGAAGCUAACCUGCCUACCUCUUCUCACACAAUUGGUUGUGGGAUUCAAAUGAGGCUAUGGAGAAGCCCUUGGGGAUCAGGGAGGAGCCAUACAGCUGGGAGGUGAAGUUAUCCUGCACGAACAAUGAAAAAUAAGAAUAGGAUCGAAAUCCCGUCUCCAUGCAAAUUUGGAAUCCCCAAAGGCUAUCAGGAGGGCAAUUAUAUUGACAACUCAUUUUAAAUUCUUUCUCUUAGUUCUAGUUGCUUUUGAAGACAACAGAAGUACUGGUGGUAGAGAGAAAGGAAAGGAUCCUGGUUUAUUCUGCAAAGUCCUGUGUUUUAUGGAAGAAAAUCAUGUUAAGUAUUUAACGCUCCUGUUAGAUGCUGACCCAAAAGAGGUGCCUAUUCACCUACAGAGAGCAUGGUUUAAGUCAAGCAUUUUGUAUUCAUGAGGACAGCAAAUAUGUGUGGUGUUGAAGCGAUUUAGUUCAUUGACUGUUGGCUGGAUGACUGAGCAAGAAUACUGAGGCAUUUAACAAUGUUGCUGGUAUUCAGGACAAACAUUUAUCCUCUAGAGAGAAGAAUUUGAUCAGGAUGAUCAAAUGCAACUCUGGUUUCUCAAUUAUUUAUGAUUUGAGACUCCAGUGCUACUCAUCACAGCUGGUUCUGUCGCCAUUUAAUUAUUCAUAGUAAUCAACUACACCUCUGUAAACUUGAUCAGUCUUAAAAUAGGCUUUGCUGCAUCAAAAUCCUGUGAGUGAACAAAUCCUGGGCAUCUAUAGCCUAUUUGUAUCCUUUAAAGGAAUAUUCUGGCUAAAAGCUUUAGUCACCUCUUCCCAGCUUUACAGCUUAAUAUUAUUAGCUGAUAGUUAUGGAGCAGGGUGGGGCCGGCAAGGAGGAAGGAGACACUGUUGUGUCGCCAUCUCCGUCUUUCCUGACUUGGCAAAUUUAAUAGUGAAGCUGUUCACAACAGGAAGAAUAGCCUUUCUUUUGAAAAGAACAGUAAAGCAGCAAUAUAAAAGAGAAUAAGACAGUGCAAAAGCUCACCAGUAUACUGUCACCUUCUAAUUUGGCAAAAACUUGAAGUAUUCUAAACACAAACAUUCUUUAUUGGGAGCUCUGCUAAAAUGGAAAAGUGGUAACAGGCCACUAAAGCAACUAUUAAGGGUGUUUUAUAAACAGAGAUAGUAAUAGGCUAGAUCAGAAAGACCAGAAAAAAUCCUGUGUAAUGAUCAAAGGAAUGAAAUUAAGCCCUACAUUGAGGUAAAAUAGUAAUGUCAGCCUCAUAUCCAUUUGUGUGUGAAGAUGACAGCCUGCCUUUACUUGGCACUGUGUGUGUAAUGUGGCACUCCUUCCUCAGAACUGCCCCCUUGGAUGGGUGCUAUCUCACUCUUGCCAUUUUAGGUGAGGAAACUUUAUGCAGGAGACAGCUGAGGUGUUCAGGGGCCAAGCUUUCAAAUGGCACCAGCAGGGUUCUGACUCAAACCCACAUGCCAUCCAGACUCUCACUGAAGUAGUGCUGUGCAGUGAACAAGAGUCAGAAAAAAUAAUCAAGUAACUAAACUGUCUAUGCUUUGGCCAAGAAAACCAAAAAAGGAGACCCAAAUUAGGAGCUCUCUAUGAAAAUCCUCAACAGCUCACUAGUGACCUGGAGCUGAUCGAAGUACUCAUCUGUUGAGGUAGAGAGAAAUACCACUCAAUACUCAAUUAUUGGCUAUUAAGAGGAGAUAAAACAACUCAUUUGUCAGGUACGGAGCAGUCCAUUUUCUGGACAGGACAUUCAGGAUAAAUUACAGUCCUUGCCCCGAAGAUAUCCAUCUGGCUGGGUGGGGCGAGAGCAGAGGGUACACAACUAAAGUAUAAAACAGGCCAAAAAAGGUAAUUGGUAUAAAGCAGGUAUAGCUCUAAAUUUCCAUGGAGAAAGACAUCUAGGAAUUCCAAUUGGGUAUUUCAGUCAGCGUUCUCUUUGUUCCGCCUGGUUUAAGAAUCCUGGAAGUAAAAACUGUGGUGAUAGGACUGGGGAUUUAGCUCAGUGGUUCCACUGCCUGCCUCACAAGCGCAAGGUCCCAAGUUCAAUCCCCGGCACCAAAAAGAAAAAUUGUGGCGAAUAGCUGUCAUGUUUUCAGGAUUCUGCUGCUUGGGGAAUGAGGAAAACAACUCACUGGGAAUAUUAUUUCUUUAAAAAUGGUGCUGAAAGUCAGCAUUUUAUCUUUGUCAGGUACAUGGUGGAGAGUGUGAAAAUCUGGUCACAUCACAGCUUGAAACAACUUUACAGCCACUGGAAAUAACAUCAGUCCUUGUCUCUGGGUAGUGUUGGUGGCUCCGUUCACUUAGCUACCUGACCUGAUUUUAUCAUCACUGACCUUCCAAGGAAGCAGCAUCCCAGAAUGUUUUUAACAGAUUAGCAGCUUCUCUCCAGGCCCACAGACCAGCUGCAAGACAAUGGUGCUACAUUGGACUCUCCAAAGAUGGACUGAUUUUUUGAAGGGCAAAGGCAAUUGUUGCAGAUAAAGAUAGAUGGAGUUGACAGGGGAAGAGAACAACAGUGAAAGACAAUAAAGUAUAGAGCAUAAAAUCCGCAGUCCUUCCAAAGGCACAGAAUGAAAACUGAGACCGGAAAGGAUGUGCAUAGAAGAUGGAAUAAGGACUUGAAAGGCUUGAAGGAAUCCAGAAUCUAUCUGGAGGCUUUGGAGUAAGAGACUAACAAAAGUCAGCACCACACUGCAAGUCAGUUUGGAGCAUUUUUUGACCUGAGGAGAUUAUAUGAGGUAGAAGAUCAGCUGUGUCAGAUACUCCACAAGCAGUGGCAAGUCGUGACCUAGCCGUAUCAGUCUUGUGUAAGGUGGACCCCUUCACGCAAGUGUAGGCUGCGUGAACGGUAGAAAUACUUGAUCUAAUGCUGGGUCACCAGGUCCAGAAUAUUUCUUCCACUCAUUCUGCUGACUAAUCUGAAAGAUUGCUAGCUAUGCUUUUGUUCAGUUGUUUUGUUUUUGAAUGGGGUCACAGAUUGAUAGGACAGAAGGUCUUCAAGGACAGUAGGUCUUCGUGUGCUCUUUAGAGACCCUCUCA